GGUCUGCUUGAGUUUCCCUGAAAGUCAAGCUGGCCAGUGAGAGGAGUAAAGUUGCCUCACAAAGGGACAUCAUCAACCAGCUGCAGAAUGAACUGAUCCACAAGAAUGAGAGUGAGAAGGACCUGCUGAAGCUUCAGAGAGUCUACACUAAGCAGCACAAGGACAUGCAAAGCUACCAGAGAUGCGUUGCAAAGAUAGCAAGUUUGGAGAU
Molecule: long non-coding RNA, 211 nt
Organism: Thalassophryne amazonica
Lineage: Eukaryota; Metazoa; Chordata; Actinopteri; Batrachoidiformes; Batrachoididae
Exons: 3
Source: RefSeq, a predicted model, not a curated record